Molecule: ribosomal RNA, 495 nt
Filed under: uncultured bacterium
Lineage: Bacteria
Description: partial 16S ribosomal RNA
Rfam family: Bacterial small subunit ribosomal RNA
Source: RNAcentral
GACGAACGCUGGCGGCGUGCCUAAUACAUGCAAGUAGAACGCUGAAGGAGGAGCUUGCUCUUCUGGAUGAGUUGCGAACGGGUGAGUAACGCGUAGGUAACCUGCCUGGUAGCGGGGGAUAACUAUUGGAAACGAUAGCUAAUACCGCAUAACAGUAGAUGUUGCAUGACAUUUGCUUAAAAGGUGCAAUUGCACCACUACCAGAUGGACCUGCGUUGUAUUAGCUAGUUGGUGGGGUAACGGCUCACCAAGGCGACGAUACAUAGCCGACCUGAGAGGGGGAGCGGCCACACUGGGACUGAGACACGGCCCAGACUCCUACGGGAGGCAGCAGUAGGGAAUCUUCGGCAAUGGACGGAAGUCUGACCGAGCAACGCCGCGUGAGUGAAGAAGGUUUCCGGAUCGUAAAGCUCUGUUGUAAGGGAAGAACGAGUGUGAGAGUGGAAAGUUCACACUGUGACGGUAUCUUACCAGAAAGGGACGGCUAACUACGUG